GGGCUGGUUUGUCGUUUGUCUGCUAGUGAUGUGUGGGACUCUCCUCACUUCACUUCCCUUCGUCCCUCUUCAAGGGUUUCUCUUGUGAUCUCUGCCCAUCUCCCAACAACCUUUCCCUCUCUCAGUACAGCUGCUGAUUUCAAAAUGCUGAGCCCUCUUCUGUAGGAGCCUGUCCCCCUAUCAUAGCUGAUGGAUGGGGUUGGAUGCCUGACCCAAAUUAGCCAAUCAGAGUUUCUCUCCUGAGAAUGUAAAGAGGGACAGAGAUAGGUGGGGACCAAAAGUUAUGGGAGCUGAGCCCUGUGUGGUAGGCAGAAUUUUACAUAGGGCACGUGUAAUAUGAUGAGAAGCUGAGCUUCUCACUCCCACAAUUGCUGUGUUACUUGGCAGGGUUGACCUUAAGAUAAAAGACUCUCAGGUGAGCCUGAUCUAGUCAUCUGGUUCUUUCAAAGCAGCAGGAGUCAGAUUUGAAGCACGAGGGACUUUGCUGGCUUGAAGAUGGAGGGGGUCAUAGGGGAAGAAAGUGCUGUGGCUUCUAGGAGCUGACGGAGUUUCCCAGCUGAGAGCCAUUGAGGAAGUGGACACCUCAAUCUUAUAAUCACAAGGACGUGAUUCAGCCAACAACCUGAAGGAGCUUAGAAGUGGACUUUCCCCUCAAGCUUCCAGAGAAGACCCCAGCAUGGCUGACACCUUGGCUUUGGUCUUGAGCAGAGGACAAAGUUGAGCUGUGCCAGACUUCUGACCUACAGAACUGUUUGACCUUUUUCAAAAUAAAACUUUGGAGGGGAGAAAAAAGAACUGUCAUGAUUUUUAUUCAGGAUAUACAUGCUAGGCUUUUGGGUGCUUUCCUGAAUGGAAUCUUUUGACACUAUGACCAGCUGUAUUGUGAACGGGAUAAUUUUUAAAAAGAUGGAGUUAAAGUAGAGAUGACGUCCCUUACCCAGAGGAAAACGAUGAGUUUCCACUUUGCUGCUAAUGGAAUCGCUAAGCACCCUGUGGCGUGUCGGUGUAUUUGUGAAUGGAGCCUCACUUUGCGCAACGACGGAGUUGCAGUGGCUUCUGUUGAGAGCUUCCCUGGUGGCUCAUACACUAAAGCAUCUGCCUACAAUGCGGGAGACCCAGGUUCAAUCCAUGGAUCAGGAAGAUCUCCUGGAGAAGGAAAUGGAAACCCACUCCAGUAUUCUUGCCUGGAAAAUCCUAUAGACGGAGGAACCUGAUCCCAUUUAGUGAAUCCUGCUUGCUCUACCUUCAGGAUAUAUCCAGCUGCUGCCCCUGCCAUCCUGUCCAGGCCAUUGCCACCUCUUGUCUGAAUCAUCACAGAGCCUCUAACACGUCUCCCUUCAUCCUUUUGCCCCUGACACGGUGGAGAAGAGACCAAACAGCUGCCAGAGAUCCUCAGCAUGGCGCCCUGGGGCACCGAGGACGCGUGUGCUGCUGUGAAAGCAGAAGCCAGAAUUCUCAUGAUGACUUCAGGGCCCCCUGUGACUCGGCCCCUACGUCCUUCUCUUCAUGCCCUCGCACACUUCUCACCUCUCAUUCUAUUCCAGCCACAGGGGUCUGGCUUCCGUUCCCUGAACUCUCAUGCCCUGAGGCCUUUGCACUCGCUGUCCCUUCUGCCCACACUGCUCUUCUCUAGGGUAUCUGACAGCUCACUCCCUCACCUCUUUCAGGGCUUUCAAAUGCCACCUUCCUCAUGGAGCCUUCCUGGUCAUUCUAUUCAUAAUUUCUCCCCUAAUGGAAACCCUUCACCCCACUAUGUCCCUGAUUUCAUUUUCUCUUUAGAACUUAUGAUGAUCUGACAUACAUAUUUAUAUUAUAUAUUUUAUAUACUUAUUGUGUUGAUUGUCUUUUUCCUGCACAAGAAUAUGAAGUCUAUGAAGAAAUAGUUUUUUUAAAAGUUCUAUCCAGGGCUUCCCUGGUGGUUCAGUGGUUAAGAAUCUGCCUGCCAAUGCAGAGGACACAGGUUUGAUGCCUGGUCUGGGAGGAUCCCACAUGCCACUAAGCCCAUGUGCCACAACUACUGAAGCUGGCACACACUAGAGCCUGUGCUCGGCAACAAGAGAAGCCUCUGCAAUGAGAAGCCUGCGCACCACAACUUGAGAGAGCCCACGUGCAGUGAUGAAGACCCCGUGGAC
Molecule: long non-coding RNA, 2132 nt
Organism: Bos taurus (domestic cattle)
Lineage: Eukaryota; Metazoa; Chordata; Mammalia; Artiodactyla; Bovidae
Source: Ensembl